UACGUAGGGUGCAAGCGUUGUCCGGAAUUAUUGGGCGUAAAGAGCUCGUAGGCGGCUUGUCACGUCACUGUGAAAACCCGGGGCUCAACUCCGGGCCUGCAGUCGAUACGGGCUGGCUAGAGUGUGGUAGGGGAGAUCGGAAUCCUGGUGUAGCGGUGAAAUGCGCAGAUAUCAGGAAGAACACCUAUGGCGAAGGCAGCUCUCUGGGACGGUACUGACGCUGAGACGCGAAAGCGUGGGGAGCGAACAGG
Molecule: ribosomal RNA, 251 nt
Filed under: uncultured bacterium
Lineage: Bacteria
Description: partial 16S ribosomal RNA
Rfam family: Bacterial small subunit ribosomal RNA
Source: RNAcentral